This is a long non-coding RNA of Biomphalaria glabrata, 2949 nucleotides long. RefSeq lists it as uncharacterized. Lineage: Eukaryota; Metazoa; Mollusca; Gastropoda; Planorbidae. The record is from RefSeq and is a predicted model, not a curated record. The transcript is spliced from 5 exons.
GGGAAGAAAGACUGUGCCGCUGGUCAAUGUGUAGGCUACCCGGUCACGUGGCUUACUUACAAUUGACCAACCAGAGACAGGUCUACAUGAUAGGCUACAGCCUAUUGCAUCAUUAAGAAAAAUAGCGCCAGAACCAAACACCAUGACCAUCCCAUUCCAGUCAUAAUACUCAUAGAUCUACUUCAAGAUUGUGUUGAUUUGUUAUUAACUCGACUCUAUUCUAACAACUUUGGAAUGUGUGCGUCAAGCAAAGGUACUUUUUAUUUUAUUAGACAAUUAGAUCUACUUUAUUAUUUUAUACUUAUUUAUAGAGAUUAAGUCUGGAUAAAUUAAAGUAGAUUAGAUAUACUAUAUAUAUAGAAUCUAGAAUAAUCUAGAUAAUAUAAUUAUUUUAAGUGACGCAAGGAAAGCCGUUUGAAAUAAUAAUUAUAAUAUUAUUAUAAUCAUUCGAAUCCCGUGGCGUGUCUCACAGUUUAUUAGAACCUUAAUAGAUUAGAUUUAGAAAGUCAAUUUAGAAAAGAUAGUAAAACCAAAUUCAACCAUUAAAAUUAAUAUUUUAAAAUACGUGAGUUCUUGAGAUCUAUUUUCAAUUUAAAUGCAAAAUGUAGGCCUAUAAAUACAUUUGUGUAUACUUUUUUGUAGAAGCAAAUCUAACAAUGUUAUACUAUACUAUACUGAAACUAGUCAAUAAUCUUGUCAUUCAAUAUGUUGUGCAGAAUUAAUAAUUUAUCUUUAUAUUGCUUAUGCCUUAUGUAGAUCUAUGUAUUUAAUAUUUCUCAUGUGUGACUUUGAUUUUAAAAAAUUGAAAUGUUAAAAAAAAUGAUUUUCAGACUAUCGGAACCAAAGUUUACCAAAGAGUGAAAGAAUGAUGGCAUCACUAUGAUCACUUCUUGCUGGAUCUGUCCAAGAGUCAAUGAGUACAGGUGGACCAUGUUGGAAAAUAACUUUCAGUCAAGACUCAAGUUGAGACAAGAGCUCAUUGAUGUUAUUGAUCAAACUGAACAUGUUCUAGAGAUACUGGAGAAAAGAUUUGAGUGCAGUACAGACUCAUUUUCAAUUGAAAGCAAUUAAAAGAAGCAGAGAUAAAUACAAUCAGGAUUGGGUAUGAAGCAAAUUUCCCAAUGGCAAAUAAUGUAUAACUGUUGGAAAUAGAAGUGAAACUGAAGGAUGAAGAUUCUCAUGAAAAUUUGAUCUAUCCAGUGAAAACAGCAUUAAGAGAACAAUAGUAUGGAUUAUAACUUGUCUGGACUGGACAUGGCACAAACAGAAAAUAAAUGUAUUGAAUUUUCAAUCCAAAUUAUGGAUAUUAGAUUAUUCAAGUGAGUUACCCAAGUCUGUCAAAUAACUUAGAGAGAAAGUACUUGAACUUGGCACAUGUGAUGGCACAGAAAUCGUAAAAAAAGAAGAAUGAUGGCUUCAACUCUGAAGGAACAUCCCAAACAUGUAAAACAUUUUACAAACAAACCUAAUCAAAGUUUAUAAAUGUUUAAAAAAAGUAAGAUGCACAAGCAAAUUUAUUUACAUACUACAGAUAUUAGAACUAAUGACUAAUGGAAAAAAAAACAACUACCUAUCUAGACUUAACAACAAAGAAAUAAGUAAAUAUAAUAUUUCAAACAUGUGCUGGAUCUUGUUAGUUUAAUAACAUACUAUGUAUGUGCAUUACAUAAAACAUGUAGUGGUUCUUAGUUGUUGAUUACCGGUACUGUGCUUUUUUCAAAUACACAUUAGUUUUGUCAUAUAUUAAUUAUAAAUAUUUAUGUUCACCAUUAAUUAUUUCGUUCAGCUAUAGCAACAUAAGGAAGGCAUGGUGGCUAAGUGGUUAAGCAUUUGGCUUCCAGACCCGAAUUAGAAUCUCAGUGAAAAUUGGGAUUUUUAAGACACCCUAACUCUGGUGGAUACUGGUACCUGAUUUUAGCUGGGGAAAGUAAAGUUGUUUAGCUAGCUACAUGACACCCUGCUUGUUAACCAUUAGCCAAAGAAACUGAUGGCCUUAACAUCAUCUGCCCUAUAGAUGCUAAGUUUGAAAAGGGGAACUUUACUUUUAUUACAACUUAAGGUUAUAAGUUGACAGUUACAGAUGAUGUACCAUAUGAGCAUCAUUGUUGUUUACUGGCUUUUGAACAGUAGCUUGAAACAUUUGCUCUUUCUUACAUAUAAUAUUCACUGUUAAAAAAUUAUGAAUAUGAUAGUGCAGCUAGUUACUCUGCUCAAAAUUGAAAAAAAUAUUUUGUUGAAAUUAUAAACAUGAGCUACCGGUAUAUAUAAAUGUAUAGUUUUCAUUGUUGAGCACACACUUUUUCUUUGGUACUGGGUAACGUACAUGACCUAUAUUUUUUUGAAAUAUUAUCAUCUAAAAUUAGGCGAGGUCUUGAGAAUAUUUACCUCGAACAGACUCAGCUUUGGGUUUUUGUGCAUGUAGACCCUAUUGAUUAAAAAGCACCAUUCUCUAAUUAUAUUUUACUUGUUUAAAUUUAUAUAUUUAUGGUUAUUAAUUAUUCUUUGUAUUUAUUUUUUUAUUUUUUUUUUGUAAAGUAAGCACUGGUAUUUUUCUAAAAGUAUGUUUCACAUUUAUUUCAUUUUAAACAAAUUAAGUCAUUUACUUAAUGUUCAAUUAUGUUCUAAAUGUAUGUUUUUAAAAUUUCAGUGUUUAUAUUGCUAACAUUUCACAAACUUGUUACAGGUAGCUUAUUUUUGUUUUGGUCAUUUUUUCUUUAGAACUACCGGUACAACAUAAUCUGAUGUUAAUUUAAAAAAAAAAAAAUUUGUUUCAUGAUUGUCAAAACAGUUUGCUUUUCAAUUUACAUUCAGCAGGCCCAUACUUUGUUUAGAUAAUUCUGAAUUACAUUCUAUAUAUAAUUUAUAGGUUUCUGUAUAGGCUAUUCAAGCUUUUGUACAUGUUAAAAUUUCAUAAAUUUGGUAGCCAUUAUAUUUUUUUAAAAAUUUUAU